UACGUAGGGUGCGAGCGUUGCCCGGAUUUAUUGGGCGUAAAGGGCGCGUAGGCGGCCACGCACGUCCGUUGUGAAAUCGCCCGGCUCAACUGGGCGGGGUCGGCGGAUACGGCGUGGCUGGAGCAAGCUAGGGGGCAGUGGAAUUCCCGGUGUAGUGGUGGAAUGCGUAGAUAUCGGGAGGAACACCAGCGGCGAAGGCGGCGCUCUGGGCCGGAACUGACGCUGAGGAGCGAAAGCGUGGGUAGCAAACAGG
Molecule: ribosomal RNA, 253 nt
Filed under: uncultured bacterium
Lineage: Bacteria
Description: partial 16S ribosomal RNA
Rfam family: Bacterial small subunit ribosomal RNA
Source: RNAcentral